Molecule: ribosomal RNA, 460 nt
Filed under: uncultured bacterium
Lineage: Bacteria
Description: partial 16S ribosomal RNA
Rfam family: Bacterial small subunit ribosomal RNA
Source: RNAcentral
CCUACGAGCGGCUGCAGUGAGGAAUAUUGGUCAAUGGGCGGAAGCCUGAACCAGCCAAGUCGCGUGAGGGAAUAAGGCCCUACGGGUCGUAAACCUCUUUUGCCGGGGAGCAAGGUCCGGGACGUGUCCCCUCCCGUAGGGUACCCGUAAAAAAAGCAUCGGCUAACUCCGUGCCCGCACCCGCGGUAAUACGGGGGAUCCGGGUGUUAUCCGGUUUUUUUGGGUUGAAGGGGUGCUCAAGCGGAUGUUUAAGUCGGCGGUCAAAUCGUGGGGCUCAACCCAAGCAAGCCGUUGAAACUGGGGAUCUAGAGUGUGCGAGAGGUAGGAGGAAUGCGUGGUGUAGCGGUGAAAUGCAUAGAUAGCACGCAGAACCCCGAUUGCGAAGGCAGCAUACCGGGGCACAACUGACGCUCAGGCACGAAAGCGUGGGUAUCGAACAGGAUUAGAUACCCCUGUAGUC